UUUGUACUAUAUUAAAACAUUGUUUUUGUAAAGUUACAAAACAGAAUGAAUUCAACUCAUCCUAAAAUACCAUCAAUUGUGAAAAGCAAUAGACCAUGUGAAAUUAGCACCUCCCUCCACUACAUUCAUCCUCCUAAAGGAUUAAUACAGUGUUAUUACAGAUACUUCUAGUUAUGGACUAAGACCAAAAAGGAAAGACAGACACAUAUUAGGGAUAAUCAUAUGUAGUGAAAAGAAGAAAAAUUCCAUAAUGCAUUUCAAAAUAUAGAUUAAAAAAGUUUGGAAAAGAAGACUAACUGAAAUUUACUUAAGAAAAAGUAGAAAAGUUUGACCUCAAACUAGAGAAAAGAUUCAUCAAGUCUCUCCAAAGAAGAUUCAUACCGAGAUAGUUCUAUAGGUAUCAAUGCUAUUUUAAAAGGUACAUUUCUAUGAAAAAUAGAUAAAGGAACGUGCAGCACUAAAAACUGACACCAGAACCCCAACGCCCCAUCUGACGGCAGGGCCUCUUGCUGUUCUGCAUUUAUGUGGUCCAUGUGGCCUUCACUGACUCUGAGCACCUGGGGCUGUAUUGGUUGACUGAAUUUGGCAGAAAAUGGUGCUAGUCCACUACCAGGCCUAGUCAUUCAGAAAACUAGCAGCACGCACAUCCACCUUCUUAACCCUGCAGGGUCCCA
This 674-nucleotide long non-coding RNA is filed under the name Bos taurus (domestic cattle). RNAcentral's name for it is "long non-coding RNA NONBTAT005517". The record is from RNAcentral. Lineage: Eukaryota; Metazoa; Chordata; Mammalia; Artiodactyla; Bovidae.